GCGGACCGACGGGAGCUUGCUCCCUUAGGUCAGCGGCGGACGGGUGAGUAACACGUGGGUAACCUGCCUGUAAGACUGGGAUAACUCCGGGAAACCGGGGCUAAUACCGGAUGCUUGAUUGAACCGCAUGGUUCCAAUCAUAAAAGGUGGCUUUCAGCUACCACUUACUGAUGGACCCGCGGCGCAUUAGCUAGUUGGUGAGGUAACGGCUCACCAAGGCGACGAUGCGUAGCCGACCUGAGAGGGUGAUCGGCCACACUGGGACUGAGACACGGCCCAGACUCCUACGGGAGGCAGCAGUAGGGAAUCUUCCGCAAUGGACGAAAGUCUGACGGAGCAACGCCGCGUGAGUGAUGAAGGUUUUCGGAUCGUAAAACUCUGUUGUUAGGGAAGAACAAGUACCGUUCGAAUAGGGCGGCACCUUGACGGUACCUAACCAGAAAGCCACGGCUAACUACGUGCCAGCAGCCGCGGUAAUACGUAGGUGGCAAGCGUUGUCCGGAAUUAUUGGGCGUAAAGCGCGCGCAGGCGGUUUCUUAAGUCUGAUGUGAAAGCCCCCGGCUCAACCGGGGAGGGUCAUUGGAAACUGGGGAACUUGAGUGCAGAAGAGGAGAGUGGAAUUCCACGUGUAGCGGUGAAAUGCGUAGAGAUGUGGAGGAACACCAGUGGCGAAGGCGACUCUCUGGUCUGUAACUGACGCUGAGGCGCGAA
RNAcentral lists this ribosomal RNA (711 nucleotides) under uncultured Bacilli bacterium. RNAcentral describes it as "bacterial SSU rRNA". It matches the Rfam family "Bacterial small subunit ribosomal RNA", at positions 66 to 757 of the family's 1533-position model. The record is from RNAcentral. Lineage: Bacteria; Bacillati; Bacillota; Bacilli.